This 423-nucleotide ribosomal RNA is filed under the name Salmonella enterica subsp. enterica serovar Muenchen. Its description in RNAcentral is "partial 23S ribosomal RNA". It matches the Rfam family "Bacterial large subunit ribosomal RNA", at positions 2202 to 2624 of the family's 2925-position model. Lineage: Bacteria; Pseudomonadati; Pseudomonadota; Gammaproteobacteria; Enterobacterales; Enterobacteriaceae. The record is from RNAcentral.
ACCCUUUAAUGUUUGAUGUUCUAACGUGGACCCGUAAUCCGGGUUGCGGACAGUGUCUGGUGGGUAGUUUGACUGGGGCGGUCUCCUCCUAAAGAGUAACGGAGGAGCACGAAGGUUGGCUAAUCCUGGUCGGACAUCAGGAGGUUAGUGCAAUGGCAUAAGCCAGCUUGACUGCGAGCGUGACGGCGCGAGCAGGUGCGAAAGCAGGUCAUAGUGAUCCGGUGGUUCUGAAUGGAAGGGCCAUCGCUCAACGGAUAAAAGGUACUCCGGGGAUAACAGGCUGAUACCGCCCAAGAGUUCAUAUCGACGGCGGUGUUUGGCACCUCGAUGUCGGCUCAUCACAUCCUGGGGCUGAAGUAGGUCCCAAGGGUAUGGCUGUUCGCCAUUUAAAGUGGUACGCGAGCUGGGUUUAGAACGUCGUGA